AAGGAGAAGAAGAAAGGAGAAGAAAAAAAAAAGGAAGAAAAAGAUUUAGCCGUCCGAUUCCAAUUCCGACUUGGGUGUACGUUGGAGGAGAUUUGGGUGAAGUUAUAAAAAUCCAGAAAGUAUCGGUAGGAGGUACGCAUGGCACCUCCGGGACAGGGGAGGUCUCGGGAGAUAGAAAGACGGGCUGAAUGAGUGAACUGCAUCUGAUGUAUUAUAUGUAAAUUCUAACUAGAAAAACCUCCCGUUUUGGGAGUAUGUUUUUGUAAAUAUUUAUAAACUUGUUUUUUUGGGAAUAAUAAAAUGCUUAUAUAAUUAAUUUUAGCCUUAACACUGUGUUGUGGGGCCCGAAGUAGGAGGUGACGACCUCAUGAUGCAGUGUGGCGGUAGCAUUUCCAGUA
Andrographis paniculata is the source of this 398-nucleotide long non-coding RNA. RefSeq lists it as uncharacterized. The record is from RefSeq and is a predicted model, not a curated record. NCBI's taxonomy places the organism in Eukaryota, Viridiplantae, Streptophyta, Magnoliopsida, Lamiales, Acanthaceae. The transcript is spliced from 3 exons.